GCUAAAGUCAACAGUCGCUUGGUUUGAGCUCAAAUAAAUGCAGGGAUGCCUCGGCUCGGAGCAGUCGGCCGCCUCCCUCCGCUCGCUGGACGCUCCGCCACCCUCCCGCCCGACUGCCUGCCGGCUGCCACAGGAACCGCUGGAUAAAGACCAGCUCAACCAUGGCUGAGAAAAUAGACCCAGGCUCCCCAGAGCGGUUAACCCGCCUGCCUCUGGGCAAAGACUAAAAAGAAAUCCUCACAAUGGGAUGGAACCGCGUCUCAGUACUUGCUGUUCGAGUCAGUCUGGAGUUUCUAGGAAAGCUGCCACUGAAAUUCUCCGCUAACUAGACUGAUCUUGCUUCAAAUUAUUUGGACAUGGAUGCUUAUCUUUUUUAUUUUCAAAGAAAAGAAAAGCAAAACAAAAAGAAACAACUGCAAACAGCCCCCAGUGUGUUUCCUACUGACCUUUUUCCUCGGAGGAAAGCAAAGGGAGAGAACUGGCUUCACCAGUGUUCCUUGGCUUCAUCCAUUCACAGAUUUGCUUAUUGACAGCUACUGGAACAAAAAGAUGAGAUGGAUAAAGCACACUAAUUGUCCAAAGGGUCUCCUGUGACUAAAAGCAUGUGAGUUGCUCCCCGGGCUGAGCUUUGACCCUCCCAAGCGCUUCCCCAAAGGCCAUGACACUGCAUCGGAUUGCUUCUGAACACUUUCCUCAGAGUUUUCAACAAAUAUAAACUCAGGAAUGGAACACAGAACGAGACUUGCUUAUCAAGAGGCAAUGGUCACAGCCCAAAUGGGUGCUGUGCAUGAUUCAGGGCUCAGGAGAUGGGAAGUGGGUACAGGAACGUUGGGAGCUGCAAAAUUGUGCUGGAGCAAUAGACCAACAGCCAUUAACAUCUGUCAAUGCAAAGACCUUAAAUACACAAGUGUAGAUUUGUCCUGCCGUCAGAACUGAAGCUGUGACAGUCACACUGCCAAGGUAGAUAUUCAAGCUCCUCUGAGGUCACUGAAACUUACAAUGAAUUAACAAUGAAGAGUAGAUAAUUUUUGGAAAUCUCUUUCUAUGACCAGAAAAUAUCCACAAACUCAGAGUGAUUGUUUGGGGUGAAAGAGGGUCCCAUGCCUUGUGGGCCUCUCUUGGCUGAUGUAUACAACAUUGGGAAUAAACCCCUCCCUUACAGGAAGGUGACUAGCAAUGAAAGUGAGCCCACCCUGGGAGGGCAGAGUGGGUGUACGUUCCUCAAAGAGCACUGAACACAACAGGACACACAAACAGCCAGGGCACCCUCAACAAUGCCCCACCAUCUGCCCACCAGGUCACACAGAUUCAGUGACAUAUUCCUCAAAAAAGGGAAUUAGGGAGGACCCAUGACAUGGCCAAUGUGGAGAGAGCCUUACUACUGUUAGCGCCAUUGCUAAUGAUUGGAGCAAAGAAGGUCAUACAAGACCCAGCAUGUUUAAAGUAACAAAUGUCAACCCUAAAGUGCAUGGAGCCUUCUCUCCUUCCCUUUUGAGGGCUCUGUGCUUCACAAGCUGGGCAUUUGCUGCAUGGGGUUUUCUAAUAUAAUGUGAAUUUUCAAUGUGCUUUAUCUCUGUAGAGUGGCUUUAAAAAGCCCUUGAAGUCCUCAGCUUUAAAUCCAUGCUAAUAGGGGAAGUCUUUUUUUUUUUUUUUUUUUUUUUUAAUGGAGGUUGGGAGCUGUGGUUGGGAGAAACAUUGACCCAGACUGCACUCUGGGUAAACUGGGGCCAAAGACCUGAUACCAUCUGCAGGGUACUUAUUAACCACUGUUCAUCUGCAGGAUCAAUAUUUCCAGCAAAGGAGUCAACACUCAAGAUAUACUGCUACGUCUCGCUUUUUCCUUGACACAACAAUUUAUUUUAUAAAUGCAUCUGCUGGAGAGGAAAAGGCAGCACCAAGGAUUGUGUCUUUUAUCUCCAGGAUAUGCAAAGCGCAUUUAUUUUCAGCUUUUAUCUCCGGAAUUGUAUGUUGAUCCCAUACAUAUAGAUUGAUUUUGUUCAGGUAGAUAAUGAAAAGUCAAGUGGAAAAUUACACAGUGGCACUCUCGAUCCUAGUCUUAUAUCGAAUCCUAAUGAAUAAAGGUUGCUGGACUCAGGGUAAAAGCAGGAUGAACUGGAGAUGGGACACACCAGGUACUUUUAUAAUUGCUUUAGAUUACACCUACAAUCGAAAUAAAUGUCAACAAAUAAUCAAAAUAUCUUUACAUCUGCUUUUUAAAAAUUAGAGCCUAUUUUAAACAUAAGAGAAAGUAGAUGUGACAAUGAUAUAAACUACAGUUACAUUAAGUUGAUAUGAAAGUCAAAAGCUGACACAGGUGUGCACUGUGGGUGUGUGUUCUGACUUGAUGCUUAUUUUGGGAACCAGGCUACAGUGCCUAAUUCUAUUGUAAUGUGGUCAUUUAGCUUGAAUUGUUUUAUAAGGUGAAAAGGCAAAAAGGUUAAUUCCAAAGAAAACUAAUGGUUUACUAUUAAUGCAUUAAACAUUUCAGAAGCCCACCUGUGGGAAAUACAAAGUUUUAAUGCUGUGUGUUUUUUUGUUAUUUUUAUUUUGUCUUACUGACAAAACUGGCAGAAAAAAAAAAAAACUUUCAUAUCUUUUUCCUGCUGGGUGGUCAGAAGGAAAGGCCAUGAAGCUAAAGGCGUCCCAUUGAGACACUGCUCUGCAAAGACGGACCUCACGUGCCGCCGCCAGAGAAGAGAGCACCUGUUCAUCUCGGCUCACUGUAAGGCUGAGCUCAGCGCUGGCAGGCGAGGGACCGCACGUGCCCCCGACAGCCACAGAGAGGGCUUCCCUGCAGGGAAAUCACAUCUGAGGUGCCUGUGCCCAGACCAGAUUUAAGACAGCCUCGAACAUGUCUACGAAGCCAUUGUCCAGUAGAGCUGUUAGUUUUAAUGCCAGUGAGUAUCAUCUUUGAUUAAAAGGAUGAAUGUAUAUAGGGGUGUGUGUGUGUGUGUGUGUGUGUGUGUGUGUGUGUGUGUUUGGACUUGUGUGUGAUGUAGGGAAAAGGUGUGGAGAAUUAAGAAAGGGUUCCAUUUAGGCAUUUGCAAAUAUUCCAUGGCACCAUGAAAAGACAAAAAAAAAUCCUGUAAAAUAUGUCAUAUUUUGCUAUGAUUUUGUGUGUACAUGUAAUAAAAUUGUUAAGUAUAAA
Molecule: non-coding RNA, 3148 nt
Organism: Callithrix jacchus (white-tufted-ear marmoset)
Lineage: Eukaryota; Metazoa; Chordata; Mammalia; Primates; Cebidae
Source: RefSeq, a predicted model, not a curated record